AAUAGAUACCCGGGUAGUCCACGCCGUAAACGUUGGGCGCUAGAUGUGGGGACCAUUCCACGGUUUCCGCGUCGUAGCUAACGCAUUAAGCGCCCCGCCUGGGGAGUACGGCCGCAAGGCUAAAACUCAAAGGAAUUGACGGGGGCCCGCACAAGCGGCGGAGCAUGCGGAUUAAUUCGAUGCAACGCGAAGAACCUUACCAAGGCUUGACAUAUGCGAGAACGCUCUAGAAAUAGAGAACUCUUUGGACACUCGUAUACAGGUGGUGCAUGGUUGUCGUCAGCUCGUGUCGUGAGAUGUUGGGUUAAGUCCCGCAACGAGCGCAACCCUCGUCGCAUGUUGCCAGCACGUAAUGGUGGGAACUCAUGUGAGACUGCCGGGGUCAACUCGGAGGAAGGUGGGGAUGACGUCAAAUCAUCAUGCCCCUUAUGUCUUGGGCUUCACGCAUGCUACAAUGGCCGGUACAAAGGGCUGCGAAACCGCAAGGUGGAGCGAAUCCCAAAAAGCCGGUCUCAGUUCGGA
This 522-nucleotide ribosomal RNA is filed under the name uncultured bacterium. Its description in RNAcentral is "bacterial SSU rRNA". It matches the Rfam family "Bacterial small subunit ribosomal RNA", at positions 777 to 1297 of the family's 1533-position model. The record is from RNAcentral.